AAAAGGACAAGUGAUUUACCUUGGAUGACCGAUUGAUAAACUGUAAAUAAGGAUUCAAACAGGUAUAUAUACUUUUUUGGAAUAGCAAUGUGAAUGUAGAGGCCAGAAAAAUGAAGCAGAUGGUAUUGGAGUAGAACUUCCCAAGACUGCUCUCCGAAGGCUAACAACAGGUUAAGAAUUUUCAAAGCAGAGAAAAGGCCACUGUUUUCCGGAAGAGGCUUGAUUCCCUCAAUUAGUGGUCUAUGCUUGCUGUGUAGUGAUAAGAAGUCCAUUCUGUAAAGAAAGUUCUUGGAGAUGCAUGUUGUAAUUGCCAUGUGAUGAUGAACAAAAGCCCACCAAGCAUUGUUGACAACUUA
Suricata suricatta (meerkat) is the source of this 356-nucleotide long non-coding RNA. RefSeq lists it as uncharacterized. The transcript has 3 exons. The record is from RefSeq and is a predicted model, not a curated record. Lineage: Eukaryota; Metazoa; Chordata; Mammalia; Carnivora; Herpestidae.